UACGUAGGGUGCGAGCGUUGUCCGGAAUUACUAGGCGUAAAGGGCAGGCAGGCGGAUCCAUAAGUUUAUCGUUUAAGGCGUCGGCUUAACCGGCGUAGGGCGGUAGAUACUGUGGAUCUGGAAUGCGGUUGGGGAAGACAGAAUUCCUGGUGUAGCGGUGGAAUGCGCAGAGAUCAGGAGGAAUACCGAAGGCGAAGGCAGUCUUCCAAGCCGUUAUUGACGCUCAUCUGCGAAGGUGUGGGUAUCAAACAGGAUUAGAUACCCGCGUAGU
This 271-nucleotide ribosomal RNA is filed under the name uncultured prokaryote. Its description in RNAcentral is "partial 16S ribosomal RNA". It matches the Rfam family "Bacterial small subunit ribosomal RNA", at positions 524 to 794 of the family's 1533-position model. The record is from RNAcentral.